RNAcentral lists this long non-coding RNA (360 nucleotides) under Triticum aestivum (bread wheat). Its description in RNAcentral is "long non-coding RNA (TAES_LNC015708)". The record is from RNAcentral. Lineage: Eukaryota; Viridiplantae; Streptophyta; Magnoliopsida; Poales; Poaceae.
GAUGAUGAUGAAGCUGAGUUUGAUCCGGAGAAGCAAAGCUUAGUUUCGUCUCCAAAGGACUCAGAUGCCUGAUACAUGUUGUUUAGCAGGUACUCAGUUUUGUCCUUCUGUCUAGAACAGACACCUUUUUUUUUUUUUGCGGGAAUGUCUAGAACAGACACCGAGUCUUCAAAACUUGUUAUAACUAUGCAAUACAGACAAUUCAGGAUGUAUUUUGUUGGAUGGCACGCACUCACAUCACAAGUUACAUGUACACUAGAAUUAUUUUUGUUCCCAUCGUCUUAUUCCCGGUUGUUUAUGCAACUACUAUUGUGUUGUUUACUAGAAUCACCUGCCUUUUUCAUGAACAUGUAGUCGUUA